AUACGUAGGGGGCUAGCGUUAUCCGGAAUUACUGGGCGUAAAGGGUGCGUAGGUGGUUUCUUAAGUCAGAAGUGAAAGGCUACGGCUCAACCGUAGUAAGCUUUUGAAACUAAGAGACUUGAGUGCAGGAGAGGAGAGUAGAAUUCCUAGUGUAGCGGUGAAAUGCGUAGAUAUUAGGAGGAAUACCAGUUGCGAAGGCGGCUCUCUGGACUGUAACUGACACUGAGGCACGAAAGCGUGGGGAGCAAGCAGGAUUAGAUACCCUGGUAGUCCACGCCGUAAACGAUGAGUACUAGCUGUCGGGGGUUACCCCCCUCGGUGGCGCAGCUAACGCAUUAAGUACUCCGCCUGGGAAGUACGCUCGCAAGAGUGAAACUCAAAGGAAUUGACGGGG
This 394-nucleotide ribosomal RNA is filed under the name uncultured bacterium. RNAcentral's name for it is "partial 16S ribosomal RNA". It matches the Rfam family "Bacterial small subunit ribosomal RNA", at positions 523 to 918 of the family's 1533-position model. The record is from RNAcentral.